GAUGAACGCUGGCGGUAUGCCUAACACAUGCAAGUCGAACGAACUCUUCGGAGUGAGUGGCGGACGGGUGAGUAACGCGUAAGGAACUGCCCUUAGGAGGGGGACAACCACUGGAAACGGUGGCUAAUACCCCAUGUGCCGAGAGGUGAAAGAUUUAUCGCCUGAGGAUGUUCUUGCGUCAGAUUAGCUAGUUGGUGAGGUAAUGGCUUACCAAGGCGACGAUCUGUAGCUGUUCUGAGAGGAAGAUCAGCCACACUGGGACUGAGACACGGCCCAGACUCCUACGGGAGGCAGCAGUGGGGAAUUUUCCGCAAUGGGCGAAAGCCAGACGGAGCAAUACCGCGUGAACGAAGAAGGCUCUAGGGUCGUAAAGUUCUUUUAUCAGGGAAGAAGAAGUGACGGUACCUGAUGAAUCAGCAUCGGCUAACUCCGUGCCAGCAGCCGCGGUAAG
This 451-nucleotide ribosomal RNA is filed under the name uncultured bacterium. RNAcentral's name for it is "bacterial SSU rRNA". It matches the Rfam family "Bacterial small subunit ribosomal RNA", at positions 28 to 524 of the family's 1533-position model. The record is from RNAcentral.